This 253-nucleotide ribosomal RNA is filed under the name uncultured bacterium. RNAcentral describes it as "partial 16S ribosomal RNA". It matches the Rfam family "Bacterial small subunit ribosomal RNA", at positions 524 to 776 of the family's 1533-position model. The record is from RNAcentral.
UACGGGGGGGGCAAGCGUUGUUCGGAAUUACUGGGCGUAAAGGGCGCGUAGGCGGCCUUCUAAGUCGGACGUGAAAUCCCCAGGCUUAACCUGGGAACUGCGUCGGAUACUGGAUGGCUUGAAUUCGGGAGAGGGAUGCAGAAUUCCAGGUGUAGCGGUGAAAUGCGUAGAUAUCUGGAGGAAUACCGGUGGCGAAGGCGGCAUCCUGGACCGACAUUGACGCUGAGGAGCGAAAGCUAGGGGAGCAAACGGG